AUUUGCAGAGGAUGCUUCGGGAGCGGUCCCCAUCUAAGUUCCCUGGAACGGGACGUCAUAGAGGGUGAAAAUCCCGUAUGGGAUGGGGUGUCCGCGCCCGUGUGAAGCUCCUUCGACGAGUCGAGUUGUUUGGGAAUGCAGCUCUAAAUGGGUGGUAAAUUUCAUCUAAAGCUAAAUAUUGGCCGGAGACCGAUAGCGCACAAGUAGAGUGAUCGAAAGAUGAAAAGCACUUUGAAAAGAGAGUUAAAAAGCACGUGAAAUUGUUGAAAGGGAAGCGCUUGCGACCAGACUCGCUCGCGGGGUUCAGCCGGCAUUCGUGCCGGUGUACUUCCCCGCGGGCGGGCCAACGUCGGUUU
Molecule: ribosomal RNA, 356 nt
Filed under: Penicillium sp.
Lineage: Eukaryota; Fungi; Ascomycota; Eurotiomycetes; Eurotiales; Aspergillaceae
Description: partial large subunit ribosomal RNA
Rfam family: Eukaryotic large subunit ribosomal RNA
Source: RNAcentral